GGGGCUAUAGCUCAGCUGGGAGAGCGCCUGCUUUGCACGCAGGAGGUCUGCGGUUCGAUCGCAUAGCUCCACCA
Molecule: transfer RNA, 74 nt
Filed under: Escherichia coli
Lineage: Bacteria; Pseudomonadati; Pseudomonadota; Gammaproteobacteria; Enterobacterales; Enterobacteriaceae
Also listed under: 1 other name
Description: tRNA-Ala
Rfam family: tRNA
About the family: Transfer RNA (tRNA) molecules are approximately 80 nucleotides in length.
Source: RNAcentral